UACGUAGGGGGCGAGCGUUGUCCGGAGUUACUGGGCGUAAAGCGCUUGUAGGCGGUCCACCAAGUUUGGGGUGGACAGUUGUCGACUUAAUCGGCAAAGUGCCUCAAAAGACUCGGCGGACUUGGAGGGCCACAGGAGGGACAUGGAACGUCCAGGUGUAGUCGGUGAAAUGCGUAGAUAUCUGGAAGAACACCAAAGGCGAAGGCAAGUGUCCUGGGUGGUCGGCUGACGCUGAGAGGCGAAAGCCAGGGGAGCGGA
Molecule: ribosomal RNA, 258 nt
Filed under: uncultured bacterium
Lineage: Bacteria
Description: partial 16S ribosomal RNA
Rfam family: Bacterial small subunit ribosomal RNA
Source: RNAcentral